UUAAGCGACUAAGCGUACACGGUGGAUGCCCUGGCAGUCAGAGGCGAUGAAGGACGUGCUAAUCUGCGAUAAGCGUCGGUGAGGUGAUAUGAACCGUUAUAACCGGCGAUUUCCGAAUGGGGAAACCCAGUGUGUUUCGACACACUAUCAUUAACUGAAUCCAUAGGUUAAUGAGGCGAACCGGGGGAACUGAAACAUCUAAGUACCCCGAGGAAAAGAAAUCAACCGAGAUUCCCCCAGUAGCGGCGAGCGAACGGGGAGGAGCCCAGAGCCUGAAUCAGUGUGUGUGUUAGUGGAAGCGUCUGGAAAGGCGCGCGAUACAGGGUGACAGCCCCGUACACAAAAAUGCACAUAUUGUGAGCUCGAUGAGUAGGGCGGGACACGUGGUAUCCUGUCUGAAUAUGGGGGGACCAUCCUCCAAGGCUAAAUACUCCUGACUGACCGAUAGUGAACCAGUACCGUGAGGGAAAGGCGAAAAGAACCCCGGCGAGGGGAGUGAAAAAGAACCUGAAACCGUGUACGUACAAGCAGUGGGAGCCUCUUUAUGGGGUGACUGCGUACCUUUUGUAUAAUGGGUCAGCGACUUAUAUUCUGUAGCAAGGUUAACCGAAUAGGGGAGCCGAAGGGAAACCGAGUCUUAACUGGGCGUUAAGUUGCAGGGUAUAGACCCGAAACCCGGUGAUCUAGCCAUGGGCAGGUUGAAGGUUGGGUAACACUAACUGGAGGACCGAACCGACUAAUGUUGAAAAAUUAGCGGAUGACUUGUGGCUGGGGUGAAAGGCCAAUCAAACCGGGAGAUAGCUGGUUCUCCCCGAAAGCUAUUUAGGUAGCGCCUCGUGAAUUCAUCUCCGGGGUAGAGCACUGUUUCGGCAAGGGGGUCAUCCCGACUUACCAACCCGAUGCAAACUGCGAAUACCGGAGAAUGUUAUCACGGGAGACACACGGCGGGUGCUAACGUCCGUCGUGAAGAGGGAAACAACCCAGACCGCCAGCUAAGGUCCCAAAGUCAUGGUUAAGUGGGAAACGAUGUGGGAAGGCCCAGACAGCCAGGAUGUUGGCUUAGAAGCAGCCAUCAUUUAAAGAAAGCGUAAUAGCUCACUGGUCGAGUCGGCCUGCGCGGAAGAUGUAACGGGGCUAAACCAUGCACCGAAGCUGCGGCAGCGACACUAUGUGUUGUUGGGUAGGGGAGCGUUCUGUAAGCCUGUGAAGGUGGCCUGUGAGGGUUGCUGGAGGUAUCAGAAGUGCGAAUGCUGACAUAAGUAACGAUAAAGCGGGUGAAAAGCCCGCUCGCCGGAAGACCAAGGGUUCCUGUCCAACGUUAAUCGGGCAGGGUGAGUCGACCCCUAAGGCGAGGCCGAAAGGCGUAGUCGAUGGGAAACAGGUUAAUAUUCCUGUACUUGGUGUUACUGCGAAGGGGGGACGGAGAAGGCUAUGUUGGCCGGGCGACGGUUGUCCCGGUUUAAGCGUGUAGGCUGGUUUUCCAGGCAAAUCCGGAAAACCAAGGCUGAGGCGUGAUGACGAGGCACUACGGUGCUGAAGCGACAAAUGCCCUGCUUCCAGGAAAAGCCUCUAAGCAUCAGGUAACAUCAAAUCGUACCCCAAACCGACACAGGUGGUCAGGUAGAGAAUACCAAGGCGCUUGAGAGAACUCGGGUGAAGGAACUAGGCAAAAUGGUGCCGUAACUUCGGGAGAAGGCACGCUGAUAUGUAGGUGAAGCGACUUGCUCGUGGAGCUGAAAUCAGUCGAAGAUACCAGCUGGCUGCAACUGUUUAUUAAAAACACAGCACUGUGCAAACACGAAAGUGGACGUAUACGGUGUGACGCCUGCCCGGUGCCGGAAGGUUAAUUGAUGGGGUUAGCGGUAACGCGAAGCUCUUGAUCGAAGCCCCGGUAAACGGCGGCCGUAACUAUAACGGUCCUAAGGUAGCGAAAUUCCUUGUCGGGUAAGUUCCGACCUGCACGAAUGGCGUAAUGAUGGCCAGGCUGUCUCCACCCGAGACUCAGUGAAAUUGAACUCGCUGUGAAGAUGCAGUGUACCCGCGGCAAGACGGAAAGACCCCGUGAACCUUUACUAUAGCUUGACACUGAACAUUGAGCCUUGAUGUGUAGGAUAGGUGGGAGGCUUUGAAGUGUGGACGCCAGUCUGCAUGGAGCCGACCUUGAAAUACCACCCUUUAAUGUUUGAUGUUCUAACGUUGGCCCGUAAUCCGGGUUGCGGACAGUGUCUGGUGGGUAGUUUGACUGGGGCGGUCUCCUCCUAAAGAGUAACGGAGGAGCACGAAGGUUGGCUAAUCCUGGUCGGACAUCAGGAGGUUAGUGCAAUGGCAUAAGCCAGCUUGACUGCGAGCGUGACGGCGCGAGCAGGUGCGAAAGCAGGUCAUAGUGAUCCGGUGGUUCUGAAUGGAAGGGCCAUCGCUCAACGGAUAAAAGGUACUCCGGGGAUAACAGGCUGAUACCGCCCAAGAGUUCAUAUCGACGGCGGUGUUUGGCACCUCGAUGUCGGCUCAUCACAUCCUGGGGCUGAAGUAGGUCCCAAGGGUAUGGCUGUUCGCCAUUUAAAGUGGUACGCGAGCUGGGUUUAGAACGUCGUGAGACAGUUCGGUCCCUAUCUGCCGUGGGCGCUGGAGAACUGAGGGGGCUGCUCCUAGUACGAGAGGACCGGAGUGGACGCAUCACUGGUGUUCGGGUUGUCAUGCCAAUGGCACUGCCCGGUAGCUAAAUGCGGAAGAGAUAAGUGCUGAAAGCAUCUAAGCACGAAACUUGCCCCGAGAUGAGUUCUCCCUGACUCCUUGAGAGUCCUGAAGGAACGUUGAAGACGACGACGUUGAUAGGCCGGGUGUGUAAGCGCAGCGAUGCGUUGAGCUAACCGGUACUAAUGAACCGUGAGGCUUAACCU
This 2897-nucleotide ribosomal RNA is filed under the name Escherichia coli. RNAcentral describes it as "bacterial LSU rRNA". It matches the Rfam family "Bacterial large subunit ribosomal RNA". Lineage: Bacteria; Pseudomonadati; Pseudomonadota; Gammaproteobacteria; Enterobacterales; Enterobacteriaceae. The record is from RNAcentral.